This 65-nucleotide transfer RNA is filed under the name Allocarsidara bakeri. Its description in RNAcentral is "tRNA-Cys". Lineage: Eukaryota; Metazoa; Arthropoda; Insecta; Hemiptera; Carsidaridae. The record is from RNAcentral.
GUUUUUUAGUCAAAAAUGAUUUUAAGUUGCAAAUUUAAAGGUGAUAUUUUAUUAUUAAGAACUUC